UACGUAGGGUGCGAGCGUUAAUCGGAUUCACUGGGCGUAAAGGGUGCGUAGGCGGUCGGGUAAGUCUGAUGUGAAAUCUCACAGCUUAACUGUGAAACUGCAUUGGAUACUAUCCGGCUCGAGGAAUGGAGGGGAGACUGGAAUACUUGGUGUAGCAGUGAAAUGCGUAGAUAUCAAGUGGAACACCAGUGGCGAAGGCGAGUCUCUGGACAUUUCCUGACGCUGAGGCACGAAAGCCAGGGGAGCAAACGGG
This 253-nucleotide ribosomal RNA is filed under the name uncultured bacterium. Its description in RNAcentral is "partial 16S ribosomal RNA". It matches the Rfam family "Bacterial small subunit ribosomal RNA", at positions 524 to 776 of the family's 1533-position model. The record is from RNAcentral.